RNAcentral lists this unclassified non-coding RNA (345 nucleotides) under soil metagenome. RNAcentral's name for it is "partial contains 5.8S ribosomal RNA, internal transcribed spacer 2, and large subunit ribosomal RNA". The stretch from base 1 to 120 matches the Rfam family "5.8S ribosomal RNA", at positions 35 to 154 of the family's 154-position model. The record is from RNAcentral.
GAUGAAGAACGUAGCGAAAUGCGAUACGUAAUGUGAAUUGCAGAAUUCAGUGAAUCAUCGAGUCUUUGAACGCACAUUGCGCCCCCUGGUAUUCCGGGGGGCAUGCCUGUCCGAGCGUCAUUGCUGCCCUUAAGCACGGCUUGUGUGUUGGGCCUCCGUCCUCCUCCCGGGGGACGGGCCCGAAAGGCAGCGGCGGCACCGCGUCCGGUCCUCGAGCGUAUGGGGCUUCGUCACCCGCUCUUGUAGGCCCGGCCGGCGCUUGCCGACACAUCAAUCUUUUUUCCAGGUUGACCUCGGAUCAGGUAGGGAUACCCGCUGAACUUAAGCAUAUCAAUAAGCGGAGGA